This 586-nucleotide ribosomal RNA is filed under the name Botryosphaeriaceae sp. JAL-2011a. Its description in RNAcentral is "LSU rRNA". It matches the Rfam family "Eukaryotic large subunit ribosomal RNA", at positions 36 to 637 of the family's 3401-position model. The record is from RNAcentral. Lineage: Eukaryota; Fungi; Ascomycota; Dothideomycetes; Botryosphaeriales; Botryosphaeriaceae.
AAGCAUAUCAAUAAGCGGAGGAAAAGAAACCAACAGGGAUUGCCUUAGUAACGGCGAGUGAAGCGGCAACAGCUCAAAUUUGAAAGCUGGCCCUUUUAGGGUCCGCGUUGUAAUUUGUAGAGGAUGAUUCGGCGAGGGCUCCCGCCUAAGUCCCCUGGAACGGGGCGUCAUAGAGGGUGAGAAUCCCGUAUGCGGUGGGUUGCCUUAGCCAUGUGAAUCUCCUUCGACGAGUCGAGUUGUUUGGGAAUGCAGCUCUAAAUUGGAGGUAAAUUUCUUCUAAAGCUAAAUACUGGCCAGAGACCGAUAGCGCACAAGUAGAGUGAUCGAAAGAUGAAAAGCACUUUGGAAAGAGAGUUAAAAAGCACGUGAAAUUGUUGAAAGGGAAGCGCUUGCAACCAGACUUGUCCGCAGUUGCUCAACCGGUCUCCUGACCGGUGUACUCUUCUGCGGCCAGGCCAGCAUCAGUUCGGGCGGUCGGAUAAAGACCUUGGGAAUGUAGCUCCUCUCGGGGAGUGUUAUAGCCCAAGGUGGAAUGCGGCCAGCCUGGACUGAGGAACUCGCUUCGGCAAGGAUGCUGGCGUAAUGG